AAUCCCGUAAUCGCAGCCUCGCCCCGCUCGCAUCUUCCUCUCCCUCUCAGCACUGGUGCUCAAUCUACAGGUUGUCCCGCUCCCUACACACCCGCCCUCCGGUGUGAACCUCCAUGACGUCCACAACCACUCUCCGGUAUGAAUCCCGCGUGCGCUUACACGAAGAUUGGUAAUAGUGGCGACCCAGUCGCAGCCGUGGACCUUCUCCUCCUCAUCGCUUGCUCGUUGUCGUCUUUUGCCUACGUCUGCACCCGACGCUGCUACCCUUCGCUCACCUGUUCAUCAUCCUUUCAGAUCUGCUGUCGUGACCUCAUCCAGCCGUGCUGUGGCAGUGGAUCGAAGUUCGCUCCAGCUCUGAUUGGGGGAAAAUGACUAGGGUAUCAAGUGGAAAAACAUAAUGGUCCAGGUUCUACUGCGGCACCUCUUUCAGGCUAAGCAUCUAAACAACAAUAUGUAAAUUAUCCUUUUCCAAUAAAAUACAUGCUUAAAUCGUGGCUGCUAGGCGAAUGGUCCUACUUUGGUCAUCAAAUGCAGGAAUUCCACUACUAUAUGUGCCACUUGAAGUUGUUAUGUCAAAAUAAUAUGGUGAAAACGAGCGUCUAUUGGGAUCUAUUUUUUAUCUUGCAAAUGAUCUUCCUGAAGGAGAUUGAUAUGUCAAGAUACGCUUGUUUCAUUUGAGCUCAAUGUUAUCUGAAAAUAUAUAGACUGCCUUCGUCCCCUUCAUCACUGCUAAUGACCGUGACUUGGAGACCCGACAGCGGCCCUCGACGUUGUCGCCGCCGAGCCCAUGCUGGUUCCACCAGUGGUCCACCACCCGGAUGUGGUCCGCCAAGACGAGCAGUAACGGUGGCAGCGAGGCGAGGUGGUAGAUCCAGCACCGCUUCUGCACGACCAUCCAUUCCUCCACCCAGAGCAUGUACCCAGGCUUGCCUCUCCUCGGGGAACAUGCCGAGGUCGUCCGACUGGAGCAGAAGGCGACAUCGCUCAACAAGCUGGUCGAGGAGCAGUGCGAGAGCAUAAACGAUCUCAAGUCCAAGAGCCAUCCGAUUCUGGGCCCAGAACACUUUGCCAAACAAAAAGUUAUCGCUCUUCAUCCUUGAUAGGCUACAGAAAGGGAAGCUGAACCUUGUUCUUCUGCCAUCAUCUAGCAUGCGGCUUACCUUUGUUUGUGAUGAUGGUUAUCCAGAGCAACUAGCUCUCUUGAGCAACGACUUUGAAUUUUCGGAAGUUAUGAUUGAAGAAAUAUCAGCUGAUAAUUCUGGACGCUCUUUCCUAAUCAGAAUUUCAGAAUCUAAAGUGUUUUACUACUGGUGUGCUGAGAAGUCGAAGGAAGAUUGAAUGGAACUUCUUGCAAAGGUCUUCAAGGGAGAAGCGGCUUAAAAUGUGUGAGCAGGUAUUUUCGGACUCGUACCAGAAAGGGAAAAGCUACAAAGGUUGACACAGCGCCGAAGCUGUGAAGCAGGAAAGCUUCGGCAUGUUCGCAGAAAAGGGAACCGACUUAAAGAUGAAAAGGCCAUUUAGACCUCGAUAGAGUGCUAUAGAAUUAUCACCAAAUGUAAAGGGCAUGUAUGUAAUUUUGUAUGGGUUGUACCCCGUGCCUAUAAAUAGGUGAACAGUACCCCCGUACUGUUCACGUUGACUUGGCAUUUGCUUUUGCGUCACACUUGUAUUUUCAUCUCCUUCCAAACCGAAGGUACAUUUAUAAUUUGAUAUUGUCUCUAUUUC
Molecule: RNA transcript, 1725 nt
Organism: Zea mays
Lineage: Eukaryota; Viridiplantae; Streptophyta; Magnoliopsida; Poales; Poaceae
Gene name: protein-like pseudogene
Exons: 7
Source: RefSeq, marked validated